Long non-coding RNA from Talpa occidentalis (Iberian mole), 242 nucleotides. RefSeq lists it as uncharacterized. The transcript is spliced from 3 exons. The record is from RefSeq and is a predicted model, not a curated record. Lineage: Eukaryota; Metazoa; Chordata; Mammalia; Eulipotyphla; Talpidae.
UAUUCAAGCUAUGAAAAACAUUGUUCCAUCAGCGGAAUCUGGCACUAUAGCAGGCUCUUUAGAGAACAGUUUUUUCUACCAAAAGUUUGUCCAGUGGAACCAAGAAACAACAACAACAACAACAACAAAACUAUGACCUUUCCACUAAACCAUUUGAGCCAGUUUAGGACAUGAAGAGAAAGAUUCAUGUAAAUUUGUAGCACACAAGAUGGAAACUGAGGCGCUAAAGUUAAAUGAAUCCA